UACGAAGGGGGCUAGCGUUGCUCGGAAUUACUGGGCGUAAAGGGCGCGUAGGCGGAUAUUUAAGUUAGAGGUGAAAGCACAGGGCUCAACCCUGGAAUAGCCUUUAAUACUGGAUAUCUUGAGUUCGGGAGAGGUGAGUGGAACUCCGAGUGUAGAGGUGAAAUUCGUAGAUAUUCGGAAGAACACCAGUGGCGAAGGCGACUCACUGGCCCGAUACUGACGCUGAGGCGCGAAAGCGUGGGGAGCAAACAGG
RNAcentral lists this ribosomal RNA (253 nucleotides) under uncultured bacterium. Its description in RNAcentral is "partial 16S ribosomal RNA". It matches the Rfam family "Bacterial small subunit ribosomal RNA", at positions 524 to 776 of the family's 1533-position model. The record is from RNAcentral.